CGGUUAACGGAGCGAAAGCGACGUUCAACCUCAAAAGAAGCAGAGGGGGCUUAGUGGUGGGGUGACUGCGUACCUUUUGUAUAAUGGGUCAGCGACUUAUAUUCUGUAGCAAGGUUAACCGAAUAGGGGAGCCGGAGGGAAACCGAGUCUUAACCGGGCGUUAAGUUGCAGGGUAUAGACCCGAAACCCGGUGAUCUAGCCAUGGGCAGGUUGAAGGUUGGGUAACACUAACUGGAGGACCGAACCGACUAAUGUUGAAAAAUUAGCGGAUGACCUGUGGCUGGGGGUGAAAGGCCAAUCAAACCGGGAGAUAGCUGGUUCUCCCCGAAAGCUAUUUAGGUAGCGCCUCGUGAAUUCAUCUCCGGGGGUAGAGCACUGUUUCGGCUAGGGGGCCAUCCCGGCUUACCAACCCGAUGCAAACUGCGAAUACCGGAGAAUGUUAUCACGGGAGACACACGGCGGGUGCUAACGUCCGUCGUGAAGAGGGAAACAACCCAGACCGCCAGCUAAGGUCCCAAAGUCAUGGUUAAGUGGGAAACGAUGUGGGAAGGCCCAGACAGCCAGGAUGUUGGCUUAGAAGCAGCCAUCAUUUAAAGAAAGCGUAAUAGCUCACUGGUCGAGUCGGCCUGCGCGGAAGAUGUAACGGGGCUAAACCAUGCACCGAAGCUGCGGCAGCGACGCUGAUGCGUUGUUGGGUAGGGGAGCGUUCUGUAAGCCUGCGAAGGUGGCCUGUGAGGGUUGCUGGAGGUAUCAGAAGUGCGAAUGCUGACAUAAGUAACGAUAAAGCGGGUGAAAAGCCCGCUCGCCGGAAGACCAAGGGUUCCUGUCCAACGUUAAUCGGGGCAGGGUGAGUCGACCCCUAAGGCGAGGCCGAAAGGCGUAGUCGAUGGGAAACGGGUUAAUAUUCCCGUACUUGGUGUUACUGCGAAGGGGGGACGGAGAAGGCUAUGUUGGCCGGGCGACGGUUGUCCCGGUUUAAGCGUGUAGGUGUGUGUUCCAGGUAAAUCCGGUUCACUUUAACACUGAGGCGUGAUGACGAGGCACUACGGUGCUGAAGCAACAAAUGCCCUGCUUCCAGGAAAAGCCUCUAAGCAUCAGGUAACAUCAAAUCGUACCCCAAACCGACACAGGUGGUCAGGUAGAGAAUACCAAGGCGCUUGAGAGAACUCGGGUGAAGGAACUAGGCAAAAUGGUGCCGUAACU
This 1203-nucleotide ribosomal RNA is filed under the name Salmonella enterica subsp. enterica serovar Schwarzengrund. RNAcentral's name for it is "partial 23S ribosomal RNA". It matches the Rfam family "Bacterial large subunit ribosomal RNA", at positions 527 to 1735 of the family's 2925-position model. Lineage: Bacteria; Pseudomonadati; Pseudomonadota; Gammaproteobacteria; Enterobacterales; Enterobacteriaceae. The record is from RNAcentral.